Molecule: long non-coding RNA, 272 nt
Organism: Sinocyclocheilus grahami
Lineage: Eukaryota; Metazoa; Chordata; Actinopteri; Cypriniformes; Cyprinidae
Exons: 3
Source: RefSeq, a predicted model, not a curated record
UGAUGACAGCGUGGCGGUGGUGUCAGUGAACGAUCUUUAUGAAGAGCUGCGAUAUAAAGACCCUCCGGCCGCAGAAGUGACGCCGCUGCAGCCGCCCAAUGCGCCGUGCUUCAGUGUUAAUAUCCCUCUGAUGCGAGUGGUGCAGUCAGUCAAACACAGCAAGAGAAGGAACAGUGGAGUGCUGAAGAAAGGCUGGUUGAUCCAUCAUACCAACACUGACACGCUGAGAAAACGUCACUACUGGGUAUUAGAUGGGAAAAGUAUCACCAUGU